UAUAUUUUCAUACUUGUCUUAAUAUUUAUUGUGAGGACCACAGCGGAAUGCACACAUCAAACAUAUGGAGAAGGGGCACCACUGCCACGUUCACAUGGGUUUCCAAAAUGAUAAGAAAGAUAGAGAUCCGGGACAACAACUGAAGCAAAUUCAGCGCUGGAACAACCACAAUUCAGUACGCUCAUCUUCCAGGAGAAAUCACGGAGCAGCUAGCUUCUCUGUCACAGCAGCUCCGUCUAGCAGGUGUCCAGUUUGGAGAAGCCACGUCCUUGAGGGAGAAGCACACGAUCUUCACGUCCAAGUUGGUUGCAUACAGCUCCAACAUCCAGCAAAGAUGAAGCAACGCGUCCAAGAACAUCCAACAAGCAACACACGGAUCCAGCACGUUCAGCUUGGGAGGUGUCACGGCUACACCUUGGAAGAACACGUCUAGCAGGCCUUCACUAACCAGUAAACGGUCCAGCAAAAAUUGAAGGGAGUCUACAACAAUGGAAGCAACUCUAUCACGGCUAGCUGGAUUGAAUAAGCAAGCAGGAGUGGUGUCAUGUUUUGAGUGAAUGAAAGCACACAGCAGCUUGGCACAUCCAUGAAAGUUGGAUGGUUUCUUGGAGAAGCUUGGUAGCAGCUCACACCCAGCACACACGUGAAAGGAGAAGGGAGCCCACGACCAAAACAAAGAAGAAGAAGACAAAGAAUGAAAUGGUGAAGGGAGCCCACUGGAAGGAUAUUCACGUAUUCAUUAGGCUGAAAAGAAGAGUACCCAUCUUAUCUUAUUUGGUACAUGGAUGAGAUAAAUUUAAAAAGGAUGAUAAUGGGAGACAAAAAGGAAGAGGCAGCAAACAUAAUAUCCCUGUCAGCAUGCUCCACACAGCUCACGUUCAGCAUAGGAGAGAAGCUUAAGGACCUCAUUUUCUUAGUGGUGGGGACACCCACUUCUUGCAUGAUUAGAGUACAAUUAUUGGGGAAGGGGGCAACAUUUUUGGUAUAGAGGAGGGAGAGUUCACGGGGAGGAACCCAUUUCUUCCUCACUCUAAGAACUUCAUUUCCAAAAUUCUCGCCCUUCUCUCUAAGAUUCCAGCACCUUGAACCGUAGGAAUUCUGUUCUGAUACUACCAUAGCCUUCGUGGAGUAGAGGGCUUCAUUUCAACCGAACAUUUACGUCGUUCCAAUCGGGGUGUAGGAUGGUUGUGCUUGGAGAAAAACCAAAGGAAGGAUUGUCGCAUGAUCUGGUGUAGAUGAAGGAAGAUUUGGAAGAACAGUUUAGCGGGAUUCAACGUUAUCUCUGCAGUCAACUAUGAGCUUAUGUAUAGAUUGUGUAGGAGGUUACGGGGUGUUACUGUAAUUGUAUGAUUAGAACAUUUCAAAUUUGAAUUUUAAAGAGUGAAUUUUGGGAUGUUA
Long non-coding RNA from Vigna angularis (adzuki bean), 1398 nucleotides. RefSeq lists it as uncharacterized. The transcript has 2 exons. The record is from RefSeq and is a predicted model, not a curated record. NCBI's taxonomy places the organism in Eukaryota, Viridiplantae, Streptophyta, Magnoliopsida, Fabales, Fabaceae.